RNAcentral lists this ribosomal RNA (225 nucleotides) under uncultured Thermincola sp. Its description in RNAcentral is "partial 16S ribosomal RNA". It matches the Rfam family "Bacterial small subunit ribosomal RNA", at positions 1159 to 1382 of the family's 1533-position model. Lineage: Bacteria; Bacillati; Bacillota; Clostridia; Eubacteriales; Thermincolaceae. The record is from RNAcentral.
UAAACCGGAGGAAGGUGGGGAUGACGUCAAAUCAUCAUGCCCCUUAUGUCCUGGGCUACACACGUACUACAAUGGCCGGUACAAAGGGCGGCGAAGGGGUGACCCGGAGCAAAUCCCAGCAAAACCGGUCUCAGUUCGGAUUGUAGUCUGCAACUCGACUACAUGAAGUCGGAAUCGCUAGUAAUCGCAGGUCAGCAUACUGCGGUGAAUACGUUCCCGGGCCUU